This 468-nucleotide ribosomal RNA is filed under the name uncultured bacterium. RNAcentral describes it as "partial 16S ribosomal RNA". It matches the Rfam family "Bacterial small subunit ribosomal RNA", at positions 28 to 507 of the family's 1533-position model. The record is from RNAcentral.
GACGAACGCUGGCGGCGUGCUUAACACAUGCAAGUCGAACGGAAAGGCCCUGCUUUUUUGGGGUGCUCGAGUGGCGACCGGGUGAGUAACACGUGAGUAACCUGCCCUUGACUUUGGGAUAACUUCAGGAAACUGGGGCUAAUCCCGGAUAGGAGCUCCUGCUGCUUGGUGGGGGCUGGAAAGUUUCGGCGGUUGGGGAUGGACUCGCGGCGUAUCAGCUUGUUGGUGGGGUAGUGGCUUACCAAGGCUUUGACGGGUAGCCGGCCUGAGAGGGUCACCGGCCACAUUGGGACUGAGAUACGGCCCAGACUCCUACGGGAGGCAGCAGUGGGGAAUAUUGCACAAUGGGCGGAAGCCUGAUGCAGCAACGCCGCGUGCGGGAUGACGGCCUUCGGGUUGUAAACCGCUGUCGCCUGUGACGAAGCGUGAGUGACGGUAAUGGGUAAAGAAGCACCGGCUAACUACGUG